RNAcentral lists this ribosomal RNA (662 nucleotides) under uncultured archaeon. Its description in RNAcentral is "bacterial SSU rRNA". It matches the Rfam family "Bacterial small subunit ribosomal RNA", at positions 370 to 1051 of the family's 1533-position model. The record is from RNAcentral.
GAUGGGGGAACCUGAUCAGCGAUGCCGCGUGAGUGAUGAAGGCCUUCGGGUUGUAAAACUCUUUCACUGAUGAAGAUGACGACGGUAGUCAGAGAAGAAGCUCCGGCUAACUUCGUGCCAGCAGCCGCGGUAAUACGAAGGGAGCUAGCGUUGUUCGGAACUACUGGGCGUAAAGAGUACGUAGGCUGUUAUGUAAGUUAGGUGUGAAAUUCUUGGUCUUAAGCUAAGGACUGCACUUAAUACUGCAUGACUUGAGUAUGGGAGAGGACAGAGGAAUUACUAGUGUAGAGGUGAAAUUCGUAGAUAUUAGUAGGAACAUCGAUGGCGAAGGCAUCUGUCUGGAACAUAACUGACGCUUAGGUACGAAAGUGUGGGGAGCAAACAGGAUUAGAUACCCUGGUAGUCCACACCGUAAACGAUGAGUGCUAGAUGUUGGUAUUAUGUAUCAGUGUCUGAGCUAACGCAUUAAGCACUCCGCCUGGGGAGUACGAUCGCAAGAUUAAAACUCAAAGGAAUUGACGGGGACCCGCACAAGCGGUGGAGCAUGUGGUUUAAAUUCGAAGCAACGCGAAGAACCUUACCAGGGCUUGACAUACCUACUAUAAUGACCAGAGAUUGUNGUAUACAGUUUGGCUGGGUAGGAUACAGGUGCUGCAUGGCUG